Molecule: long non-coding RNA, 11984 nt
Organism: Loxodonta africana (African savanna elephant)
Lineage: Eukaryota; Metazoa; Chordata; Mammalia; Proboscidea; Elephantidae
Exons: 2
Source: RefSeq, a predicted model, not a curated record
GUAGAUGCUGGAAAAAGGAAGAAGAGUUGUAAAUAGCCCUGAUGGUGCUGGGUAAGCUGGGAAGGGGGUGCCAUAUGUGUUAUGCUCAUGUCAAAUCAGUGUUCUCAGAGCCUUUCAAAAGCAGGUGAUCUGCAAAUGUUUUCGAUCACAUAUCCCUGUCAGUAACUUUUUUUCUGAACACAUAUCACCAAAAUAUAUGAAAUACGGAUUUUGUAUAUUUGUAUGUAUAAAUUACAUGUACCUACAAUUUACUGGAGUUCCUGGGUGGUACAAAUGGUUAACGUGCUUGGGUGCUACCUGGUGCCCUGAAUCCACUCAGAGGCCCUUUGGAAGAAUGGCCUGGCAACCUACUUCUAAAAAAUCAGCCAUGGAAAACCCUAUGGAGCAUGAUUCUACUCUGACGUACAUGGGGUCACCACCGGUUGGUGUUGACUCAACAGCAACUGGUCUGGUUUUGGUUUUACAGCUGGACUAAUUAUAAAACACACAGACCCCAAACAAAUUAAAAAGAGAUGAGAUAAAAAUUAAUAGAAAUUUUAAUAUUUUCUUUAUGUGCCCCUAAAGAUGGUCUUGUACCACUUCGUACACCAGUGAUCUAGAGAAGAUGAUCGUGAGUCUGGGAUGCACACGAGCUACUAGAAUCCUGAGCUGGCCCAGACUGGAUCUGCCGAAGGGCUUGAUAACCAUUACAAAACAAGGGGAUUCCCUUGUGUUCAGAAGUGUCUUCCAGAGCCCCUCAUUAUAACUCUGCUAUCCUGAAGUAUUUUCUAACCACAGCCAUUCAUGUUGAAGACAUGGCCAAGCAGUGUUUCACUUCCUGCACGAAAGAGUCUAGAAAGGGUGAAAAUGACCUUCACUUUGCAUCACAGAUUGUUUGUAGGUAAAUAAUAUAUUCUUAAUUGAACUGUAUUUUAAAUGCAUAAGAAAGCCCGCCAGUUAAAGGAAUUAUGUCUGUUUGUAUUCUUUUAUAAAGUGAAAAGACUGCAAUGUAGACAACUGUUUCUUUUAACUACAUAAGGUGUAAUGGUAAGUACUUACUCAUUUCUGCCAGUUUCUGCUGAAAUUUGGACUCCCCUGGGAGAUGUCUACUGCAGAUUUUAAAAAUGCAAAACAUUUCAUGUUUAUAUAUGUAAAUGAAAAACCCAAAUUUCCAUUAACUAUGGUGCUUUCAAUGAUUUAUGAAAUUUUUAGUUACUUUUAGUAUCAAAGGUUUAUAAACUAAUCAUCUAAAAUAUAAAUGUUACAAAUAUAUGAUUCUAUACACUAUCAGUGGUUUUUAUAAAACACAGUAGUUAACAUUUUUCGAAAACUGGCAUUUUUAAAUUUAAUGUUAAAACUAACAAUGUUAGCAAUAGCUUUUUUUAAAUAUAUGGUCAGGUUUUUAGCAUCUGAUACCUUCACUGAAUUUAGGCAUAGAUGGCGUAUUAUUUGUAUGGUUCUUUUAAGUUCAGGGUACAUUCGUACCUAUGGUUUGAGAAAUCCUCACAACUUGUGAAUAAAAUUGGCCUGAAAGGUACUCGUGGAAACCAGGAGCAGAGCUGAGUCUGGUUCUCCAGAUGACCUGCUGAGCUACUGGGAACAUUCUAACUUGUUCCUACCUUCCAUCUGCUUCAUCUGAUCCUUCAAUAUCAAAGCGUAGUUUUUUCAGUGGUUUAGGAGGGUUGCUUUCUUCGGCAUUUCUUUUGAGCAUACGGUCGCUGUUACACACCAUCUGAUUUAUUUUCUGGAACUUCUCAGAAGUCUAUGAAUUGCAGAGUUAUUUGUUUUAAAUCAUUCAACACGGCCAUUUUGUAGUUAGCAACCCUGCUUUAUAGUUUGAGGUGAGUCAAAAAUCAAGCACAGUAGCAUCGUCAUUUUACUUUUCUGCUUCAUUUGACCAAAUAAGAGAUGAAAAAUCUCAAAAGCAGAGUAACUGCACCUAACUCUGCACCAGUUAAAUGCUUACCCUUUUGAAAUCCUCCUGUCUCUUCCCGUGAGGCUCCUGCUCUUCCUCCAGCAACUCUGACUACUACCCUGGAAGUCUCACUUCUGUCUUUUCAGGACUCACGCACGAAGCCAGGACUACUUCCCAGAUGCAUGCAAAGUUGGAAGAGCUUUCUGGAACCUUGUUUUUAACAGAUUUUUUGUUUUGUUUUGAGGGCAUAGGCAGAACCAGAAGGGAAGGCCACAUGAAUUUGAUAAUAAAUAUUUAAGUCAGUAAGUUUGGGGAUAAUUUAUUAUACAACAAAAAAUAUAAUACAGGCAGUCUUCCCACUCUUGUAAGAAUAUAACCUCUACGGAGGGGUAAUGACCACUGAAUAUGGGCCUGCUGAAUUAGUGACAUUAAUGGAAAGCCAACUAGAGCAGUGAGUUGCCAGCCUAGAGUAACUGUUUCAAAGCUAAGCUUUCCCUUGGAUCUCUCUGGAACAAAGACCAUCACAUAAGCCCUGCCAUUUAUACUGCAGCAGGGUCUCGUGUAACCAAUCUGUAAUCAAUAUACCCAAGAAAGAAUAUCCUAGAAGCCUGACAAGUCUGAGAGUGGAAGGAUAAGCAAAAGUAUAUAUACGUGGAAGGAGAAGGCCAGUACGUAGGGACUGGCUAGUGACAUUUGGAUGUGAUGGUUACACUUUGGAGUAUCUCAAUUCAAAUUGUAUGCAUAAUUGGUGAAUUUCAAAACUGUUUUCUAAAGACACACACAAACAUAUCUUCUAAAUUCUAUGCAGCAUGCCUGGGUGAGGUGUAAACUCAAAUUAUAGAAAUUCUUCAAUUUCUUUUAUAGUUACAAGUGCAUGUCAUUACUUUUCAUACAAAGAAAAUACUCACCCCAAAUGAUUCACCAAUUGAUACCAAGAUUCUGUCAAGUUAAGAUGAAAUACAAAUUAAUUCGUAAUGAAAAUAGUGUAGAAAUGUGUAGAGAUGAACACAUACACAUCAUUCUAAGUAUCAAGAACACCAAAGGAAAAUUUUCCUCUAGCCCAGAAACACUGAAAAACUAUACUCAUUAGGGGCUUAUCCCAUACUAGUGCUAAUACAUUCAUGUACUGAGCUGCUUUCUUAGAUUUUUUAAACAAGAGCUACUUAGAAAUACAGGUCUGCAGAACAUAUUCUGCCAAUGUCCACCUUUAAAGAAGGGAAACCUUUUAAGUUUACCCCUACUUGGUUCUUCAUAAACCAAUGGGUAAGUUAGCAAUUAAAAUUUCACAUUUUCUCUUCUAAAUUCAAGUUACAUUUGAAAGAACUUACAGUAUUCAAUAUUAGAAUUCUAAUUAAUAUCUCUGAUACAUAGUAAAAGCUAUUUAUUACAAAUGGUAGAAUCAGAAAUCUCUACUAGUCCUUGUUUGAACCAUUUAAGUUCUUGAUAAUAAAGCUGAAGAACAGCAUUAGCCUGAUGUAACUCAACUCAGAUCUGGAGCAUAUACACAUGGAACUAGUAGAUACAUGAAUUUUAUUAUCCUCCAAUUCUUUGAUAUGUGGCCAUUCAUUCCAUAUAUAUAUGAUUAACCAGAAUAACUGAAUAUGCUGGAUAAAUAGUGUUAAGACACUCUCUUAAUGCUUCAUCAACAAUUUAUCAGUUAGGGUUUUCAGAAUUUGACUUUUUUGCUAAAGAACCCCAACCCAGAAUUGAUUUCACUAAUAUCAGCAAGAGUUAUAUCAUUAUCUGUAUAAGUGGAUUAAUUAUCAUCGUUAAAAAAUUGCCUAAGUAUACAUUUUCAGCGUGGGACUAUGUAAAUUUAACUAAACAGACAUGGUGUGGCAUCUUAGCACCUUAUAAUGUAAGUUGCAGAUACCAGUACACUGAUACAUGAUUGUAAUACCAAAUAAAGGAUGGUACAGGAACACAUACCAGCAUUUGUACCAUACUGCCAAUUAUUUUUUACCAUGUAUUUUUCUGUAGAGUUUGAAAUUUUAUCAUGAGUGUGAAUGACUUGUAUAAAGGAACACACUCUACAAGUGUUUUCUAAAGGGUUACUAUUUCUCCUUCUCUUUGUUUGCUUUUCUUGCCCAUUAAGUCCGACUGUCUGGGCUGAUCAUUUUUGAGAUGCACAUUAACUAUACUAGCUCAUCUGCCUCCCACUUUAUACAAAUAAAAGUCAGUUUCAAAGAGGCCAUGAUAACAUGUAAUGAGUCAAUUGAGGCACUUCAAAGCCAGACAGCACUUGUGGUUGGAUGUGGGUAAUAAUAUAAUGACUUCUGGUUGCACAGAACCUUUCAUCUGAAAAUUUCAAACAGCUUCACACUCAUCAUUUCCCUGACCCACAGCAUCCUUUUGAAGUAGAGGUGACUUGCCCAAGGUAAUAUAAGGAGACCACAGGUAGAAUCAGGGCUAGAACUCUAACUUAAUUCGUAUCUAUAUUUAAUGACACUGCUUUUUAUAACAAAGCAAAAUGAUCAAAGCCCACAGAAAGAGUUUACAGAAUAUCCAAUAAACUAAAGAAGCAAAAUUCUUAACCAAAACUAAUCUACUUUGUUUAGCAGAUUGGCUAUGUAGAAAAAUAUGAAUGUGUUUUGAAACCUACAACCAAACUGGUUCUCAGACUGUUUAUAAAAGAACAGACCUCAGCAGCCAGGAAAGAUGAUGACUAAAUUUGCAAACCCAUCCAAGUAAACAGAUUAUCUUUCUUGCCCCCAUAACCCUUACCAUGUCACUUAACAUACACAAGCAAAUUGGAGACUAAAGAGUCUAUCCUAUUUUAAACAAAGAAAACUUUAUAUUUUUAUACUUAGCUGAAAAUAAUCCCCUCCUAUUCUCUACCACUUUCCUAAAGAGAAAACACAAACCUUGAUCUUGGAGUCAUUUUUGUUGGAGUUGGCAGGCCUUCUGAAAUUUUAUAUGGACUCUUCAGGGGUGAUAUAUAGAUGUUCCCUCCGGGAAUCCGUAAAGGUGAACUAGAAAACUUAUAAGGGCUUCGAGGAAUGUGAGGUAUUGGUGACAAGGUAGGGGGCUAGAAUCAAAAAAAUAGAUCACUUAUUUAAUAUUUUAGUGCGACCCAUUGCUUUAUAAUCAGAUUUUCCCAAUCAAAAGAUUUCUUGUAACAUACCCUUGUGGAAGCAUACUGCAAAAUAUUUGUUUUCAGUUUCUGCAUGAAGACAGAGUUAUAGAAUACUAUAAUGGAAUCAUAUUCCUCUUCUCUGAUCAAAACACGUUUGAAUGUCUGAGGAAGAAGAGUAAAAAACUUGUUAAAUGAAUUUGUUAAUUUCUUUAGGUUUCUUUUCUAAUAGGUCAUAAUAGUUUUUAAGUAGUGAGAAGCACCAAGUAUUCAGGGAAAUGUAAUCUGAAAAAGGCUUCUUAGGAUUGGAUUAGAGCUGCUGUAACAGAAUGGAAAUGUCACAGAAUCAUCCAGAGCAGCUGCCAGGCAGCAGUGACGGCGCUGGCUGGGAGCAGUGGAGCUGAUGGCUGUCAGACAGGAGCAUCCAGGCUGGCAGGAUGAAAGCAGUACGGGGCUCGAAGGCCAGAACUCAGCAAAAGCCAACGACACUGUCCCUCAGUAUUUACAUCCUCUGGUCUACACUUCCCUGCAGUGCUCCUGCACCCCCACCCCACAAUCUACAGGGGUUCAGGAAGCGUGAAUGACUCCUUCACAAGAAGCAGACACUUAGGAAAAGCAUUCUAUUUUCCUGAGAGGUAGAUUUUACUCAGACUUUAGUUAGGUGAAAGCAUAGGGGCUUUAUACAAUGCCUCUGAUAUAAACAAUUUAAAUGACUAGAUUUAGCAAAUAACUUCAAAUUUACAAAAAAAAAAAAAAAUAAGCUGGUUCAUUUUACUUUUGAAAAAUCCAAAUCAUAAACUGGAAGAAUAACGCAUGACUCACCUGCCACUGGAGAGUAUGAACUGUGUGUCACACCAAGUAUAUUUUACUAUGACUGAUUCUCUGAAGGGAAGGUAAACUGGAAACACCUGUUUCUACUGGACAUUUUUACUACUUAGUUAUUAGGCUGCCUUGACACUGGCUUUUCCUACAAAGUAAUACAAAUAACUUAAAAAAAAAAAAAACUAAUGCCCUAUUACUUAUGUCAAGUUUAUUAUAAAUAUCCUGCUUACUGAAGAGAUAUAGUAUUCCCUAUUAAGUAUAAAAUAUGAAUUUGGAUAGUGAAGAUAUGAAAUAUGAAUUCAAACCUAGCUUUCCAAAUUCCAACGUCGUUACCAAAAACUAUUCAAUAAUAUAAAAGUAAAAAAUCGAUUUGUGAAUUUAUAUGAUAAGGUCAAGAUAUAUGAUCUAACUAAUGACUGAAAUUAUCCAGGUUUAAAAAAAAUUUUUUUACCACGAAGACCACCUACCUCCUGGACAGCGUGAGGAAGGUCCUUGUACGCUGUUACAAUGAUUUUGAAUUUAAGGUCAAUAUUCUUCACUUUGCAAAUGCCAUACAUAGAACACAUCAUGAUCUAGUAAAUAAAUAUGAUGUAAAAAGUCAGAAUUUUAUUACAUGGUAUUGUUCUAGAAAGCACUCUGUUACUUUUCUUUUGGCCUAACAAAAUGGAAAGUUAAAUUCCUACAGGGUUAUCUUUUCCCAUCUCAGAGCUCAGUUUGAAAGUUUAUAUGAGAUGUUUAACACACUGGGUGUAAGAACAAAAUGCAAAUAGCCAACUCUUGAUUAUUCAGAACUGAUCAUCUGGCUUACAAAUCACCUAACUUGGGCUUCUGCUCCCUAAAUGGUCUGCAGAAAAGUUCAAACUGGAAUCAAAUUACUGUAUAACUAGCACGUUCAAAAAAGCCACACGUGAAAAAGGUUCAAAGUAUUUGAAAAAAUACAAAAUAAUAUUGGAGAUACUUAGUCGUAGUGGUGAGAAAGGGGGUGCAGUGACUGGAAGGAGGCAAGAGAGAGUCUUCUGAAUUGUUGAAAAUAUCCUAUUUCUUGAUCUGGGCGCUGGUUACACAGGUGAGCUCAAUUCCCUUUUGCAAAUAAGAUCUUUCAGGUCAUUAAAUACAUAGUUAUUAAAAUAUAAGUUUAAACUCUAAAGUUCUAAUUUGUUAAGAACUAUAGCAAAAACAUAAAUGGUAGCUAACAAGUGAAUAUAUUAAACCAAUCUAGUUUCUCUUUAGAAUUGAAUCUUUUCUUCAAGAAAUCAGUACUUAGUUAACAAAUAAGCAGGAGAAGAAAAGCUGAAAUGCUUCAUUUUCUUACCUGGUCCAAAUGCCUGUCUCUCAUGAGUUCAUACUCAUUUUGCAGGGUGUGCUGGAAAAGGGUCCAGAUGAUGUGUUCUAGCUCUGGGUGGUCAGACAGAAGGCGCGCACACAAGGUAUUAAGGCGGAGAUAUGCUAGCCUGUAUACUGUGGAGAUAAGAGAAACUGGUGAUGCCUGCUGUUCAUUUCUAAUUACCAGUGGAUUUUUUCAUCAUCAUAAAUUGCUAUAACCAUAAUGCUGUCAAAAGCACUUAACAGUAGCCCCUCCUCUACCACUAUUUCCCUUAUGAAUAAAUGAAUCUUAGUCUCAGCCCAGUGCUAGGUACACAGAAAGCACAACAAUACUACUUGCCGUUAACUAUUAUAGCAUGAGAUCAGGCAGAAGUGGAGGGCUGAGAGGAGAAAAGGCCCCAAGAUAUUGUGAAAUUAGACAAGCCGAACUAGAUCUGUUUCAGUUCCCUUGGUAAUCACGCAUCACAAAAAACCAAAACCAAACCUUGCCAUCGAGUCGAUUUCAACUCAUAGUGACCCUGUAUAAAGGACAGAGUAGAACUGCCCCAUAGGUUUUCCAGGGAGCAGCUGGUGGAUUCAAACUGCCAACAUUUGGUUAGCAGCUGAGUUCUUAACCACUGUUCCACCAGGGCUCCAAUCACUCACUCAUCACAGAUGUUGAAAAUUCCCACUAUUGAUACUUAAGAGAGGUAGUUAUUUUAAAAAAUAAUGGAAUUGCCCAGUGUCUCUGAAUUUUUCCCACCCUAAAAAAAAAAUCAAAUCAAAUCAAACAGCAUAGUUCUCUAUGAAAUACCAAUGACGCAUACUUUGUAGAAAAAUGGUAGUAUUGCAGAUUACCCAAGUGGUAACAUAACUGUAAUAUAAAAUUUAUUUAAAGUCAUUUUAAAAAAUACUACUGGAAAUACAGGUUUGGAGAAAAGGAAUCCACAACACUGAAUUUUCCUCCAUUUACUUGAAAGGCUCUGGUUUAAAAUAUACCUCAAAGACUUUUAAAAGUAACAGUUUAUCCCAGUGGUUCUCAACUCAAGCGCACCUCACCUGGAGGGCUUGUUAAAACAAGAAUUGCUGGUUCCACUCUAGAGUUCUGAUUGAGUAGGUCUGAGAUGGGACCCCCAAUUCUCCUUUCUACCACUUUUCACCCCCACAUGUCUGUCAGUUUGUCAUACUGUGGGGGCUUGUGUUUUGCUGUGAUCCUGGACGCUAUGCCACUGGUAUUCAGAUACCAGCAGGGUCACCCAUCACCCAUUUCAGCUGAGCUUCCAGACUAAGAUGGACUGGGAAGAAAGACCUGGCCGUCUACUUUGAAAAAGAAUCAUCCAAUGAAAACCUGAUGAAUACCAGCAGAACACUGUCUGAUAAAGUGCUGGAAGAUGAGCCCCCCAGGUUGGAAGGGCACUCAACAGAUGACUGGGGAAGAGCUGCCUCCUCAAAGUAGAGUCGAUCUUAAUGACAUGGAUGGAGUCAAACUUUUGGGACUUUCAUUUGCUGUGGCAUGACUCAGAAUGAGAAGAAACAGCUGAAAACAUUCAUUAAUAAUUGGAACCUGGAAUGUACAAAGUAUGAAUCUAGGAAAAUUGGAAAUUGUCAAAUAUGAGAUGCAAUGCAUAAACAUCGAUACCCUAGGCAUUAGUGAGCUGAAAUGGACUGGUAUUGGCAAUUUUGAAUCAGACAACCAUAUAGUCUACUAUGCUGGGAAUGAAAAAUUGAAGAAAAAUGGUGUUGCAUUCAUGGUCAAAAAGAACAUUUCAAGAUCUAUCCUGAAGUACAACACUGUCAGUAAUAGGAUAAUAUCCACACGCCUACAAAGAAGACCAGUUAAUACAACUAUUAUUCAAAUCUAUGCAUCAACCACUAGGGCCAAAGAUGAAGAAAUAGAAGAUUUUUAUCAGAUGCUACAGUCUGAAAUUGAUCGAACAUGCAAUCAAGAUGCAUUGGUAAUUACUGGGGAUUGGAAUGUGAAAGUUGGAAACAGAAGAAGGAUCAGUAGUUGGAAAAUAUGGCCUUGGUGAUAGAAACAAUGCUGGAGAUCGAAUGAUAGAAUUUGGCAAGACCAACGACUUCUUCAUUGCAAAUACCUUCUUUCACCAACGUAAGCGGUGACUAUACACAUGGACCUCAUCAGAUGGAACACAUAGAAAUCAAAUUGACUACAUCUGUGGAAAGAGACGAUGGGGAAGCUCAAUAUCAUCAGUCAGAACAAGGCCAGGGGCCAACUGUGGAACAGACCAUCAAUUGCUCAUAUGCAAGUUCAAGCAGAAACUGGAGAUAACCAGAGCAAGUCCACGAGAGCCAAAAUAUGCCUUUGAGUACAUCCCACCUGAAUUUAGAAACCAUCAAGAACAGAUUUGAUACACUGAACACUAGUGACCGAAAACCAGACGAGUUGUGGAAUGACAUCAAGCACACCAUACGUGAAGAAAGCAAGAGGUCACUGAAAAGACAGGAAAGAAAGAAAAGACUAAGAUGGAUGUCAGAGGAGACUCGGAAACUUGCUCUCAAACGUCAAGCAGCUAAAGCAAAAGGAAGAAUUGAUGAAGUAAAAGAACUGAACAGAAGAUUUCAAAAGGCAGCUCAAGAAGUAAAGUAUUAUAAUGACAUGUGCAAAGAGCUGGAGAUGAAAAACUAGAAGGGAAGAACAUGCCUGGCGUUUCUCAAGCUGAAAGAACUGAAGAAAAAAUUCAAGCCUCGAGUUGCAAUAAUGAAGGAUUCUAUGGGGAAAAUAUUAAACGACACAGGAAGCAUCAAAAGAAGGUGGAAAGAAUACACAGAGUCAUUAUACCAAAAAGAAUUAGUCAAUGUUCAACCAUUUCAAGAGAUGGCAUAUGAUCAGGAACUGAUGGUACUGAAGGAAGAAGUCCAAGCUGCUCUGAAGGCACUGAAGAAAAACAAGGCUCCAGGAAUUGACGGAAUAUCAACUGAGAUGUUUCAACAAACAGAUGCAGUGCUGGGGGUGCUCACUUGUCUGUGCCAAGAAAUACGGAAGACAGCUUCCUGGCCAACUGACUGGAACAGAUCCAUAUUUAUGCCUAUUCCAGAAAAGGUGAUCCAACCGAAUGUGGAAAUUAUAGAACAAUAUCAUUAAUAUCACACACAAACAAAAUUUUGCUGAAGAUCAUUCAAAAGUGGCUGCAGCAGUAUAUUGACGGGGAGCUGCCAGAAAUUCAGGCCGGUUUCAGAGGAGGACGUAGAACCAGGGAUAUAUCAUUGCUGAUGUCAGAUGGAUCCUGGCUGAAAGCAGAGAAUACCAGAAGGAUGUUUACCUGUGCUUUAUUGACUAUGCAAAGGCAUUCGACUGUGUGGAUCAUAACAAAUUAUGGAUAACAUUGGGAAGAAUGGGAAUUCCAGAACACUUAAUUGUGCUCAUAAGGAAUCUUUACAUAGAUCAAGAGGCAGUUGUUCAGACAGAACAAGGGGAUACUGAUUGGUUUAAAGUCAGGAAAGGUGUGCGUCAGGGUUGUAUUCUUUCACCAUACCUUUUCAAUCUGUAUGCUGAGCAAAUAAUACGAGGAGCUAGACUAUAUGAAGAAGAACAGGGCGUCAGGAUUGGAGGAAGGCUCAUUAACAACCUGCGUUAUGCAGAUGACACAACCUUGCUUGAUGAAAGUGAAAAGGACUUGAAGCACUUACUAAUGAAGAUCAAAGACCACAGCCUUCAGUAUGGAUUGCACCUCAACAUAAAGAAAACAAAAAUCCUCACAACUGGACCAAUGAGCAACAUCAUGAUAAAUGGAGAAAAGAUUGAAGUUGUCAAGGAUUUCAUUUUACUUGGAUCCACAAUCAACAGCCAUGGAAGCAGCAGUCGAGAAAUCAAGAGACACACUGCAUUGGGUAAAUCUGCUGCAGAGGACCUCUCUAAAGUGUUGAAGAGCAAAAGUGUCAGCUUGAAUACUAAGGUGCACCUGACCCAAGCCAUAGUAUUUUCAAAUGCAUCAUAUGCAUGUGAAAGCUGCACAAUGAAUAAGGAAGACUGAAGAAGAACUGAUGCCUUUGAAUUGUGGUGCUGGCAAAGAAUAUUGAAUAUACCAUGGAUUGCCAAAAGAACGAACAAAUCUGUCUUAGAAAAAGUACAACCAGAAUGCUCCUUAGAAGAAGGAUGGCGAGACUGCGUCUUACAGACUUUGGACAUGUUGUCAGGAGGGAUCAGUCCCUGGAGAAAGACAUCAUGCUUGGCAAAGUACAAGGUCAGCAGAAAAGAGGAAGUCCCUCAGGGAGGUGGACUGACACAGUGGCUGCAACAAUGAGCUCAAGCAUAACAACGACUGUAAUGAUGGCGCAGGACUGGGCAGUGUUUCGUUCUGUUGUGCAUAGGGUCGCUAUGAGUCAGAACCGACUCGACGGCACCUGACAACAACAACAAACACUUUUCAGAGGCUGAGGCUCUGAGAACCACUGCUUCAACCUAAGGGCUAAGUUUUACAGUAUGUCUGUGAAGUUCAGUGUAUGUCUGACUUGGACAAAAUCAGGAAGAAGAUUUAUCACAGGGGAGUCUGGCAUUUCACUUUCUUUCAAGGAGUUCCAAGUGGAUAUACACUUGCAUGUGCACAUGCACACACACCAGCCUCCCCACCCGACCUCUUACACACACACAGCCUGAGAAUGCUCUACAACCUGGUGUCUAGCCUUCUUAAAUGUCCUGAAAAUAUCCAAGAAAUGUGUCUGCGCUAGGCUACAGCAUACUGUAAUGUCAACCCUACAUUCACACCCAACAGCCGAAGUAAUGUCCCAUAAAACCAAAACCAAACCCAUUGCUGUCAAAUUGAUUCCAACUCAUAGCAUCCCUAUACCCAAAAAACAAAACCAAACCCAAUGCCUUCGGGUCGAUUCUGACUCAUAGCCACUGUAACCAAAAAAAAAAAAAAAAAACCAGUGCCA